This 189-nucleotide long non-coding RNA is filed under the name Fukomys damarensis (Damara mole-rat). RNAcentral describes it as "lncRNA (ENSFDAG00000033085.1)". The record is from RNAcentral. Lineage: Eukaryota; Metazoa; Chordata; Mammalia; Rodentia; Bathyergidae.
CAGUGCACUGUUCACAACCUGUUAUUAUAUACCAAAAGAUACUGACAGUUAUCAGACUGGUUUCAUCCAGAGAGCCGAGAGAAAAAUAUCUAGAGCCACAAAGUGCAGAAAUGGCUUUUGUAGACCCAUUUUUAAAUAUUUUUCAGGCCAUUCACCUUGGAAAAAUAAUCACUAUAAAAUAAGCAGCAU